GGGGCACAUACUACCUAUGUUUGGGUCCACUGGACAACGGACAGUGAUUGUGGCCUCAAGAUCCAAUCACUCAGAGAGAGGUGCGAGGGAACUCAGCUCCAGGUUUUUCUUGGUUGUGCUCUCUUCCUGAAGCCCUCUGUGGUGUCAGCCAGUCAUGGAUAAACGAGACUCUGAAGUGAAGCCCAGCACCCCGACACUGCGCAUCAGGAGGAAGGCAGAUGAAUACCUAAAACCCACCCUGGUCUACAAAAACGUGCUGAGCUUUUUACUCGGUAGGCAGCUAGGGGGGCACAAAAACGAUGUGCAUCUGUCACGGUGGCUGUGGAUGUUGACACAAACCACACCAGAGUGGAGCUGGCCUUUGCCAAAAAGUCCUGUGGGUAACCCACCUGUUCUCCUUGGGGAUUAUGAAAAAUCCCAGAAAAUGAUGUGGAUCAACA
This 440-nucleotide long non-coding RNA is filed under the name Equus caballus (horse). RNAcentral's name for it is "lncRNA (ENSECAG00000032028.2)". The record is from RNAcentral. Lineage: Eukaryota; Metazoa; Chordata; Mammalia; Perissodactyla; Equidae.